This 484-nucleotide ribosomal RNA is filed under the name uncultured bacterium. RNAcentral describes it as "partial 16S ribosomal RNA". It matches the Rfam family "Bacterial small subunit ribosomal RNA", at positions 28 to 507 of the family's 1533-position model. The record is from RNAcentral.
GUUGAACGCUGGCGGCAUGCCUAACACAUGCAAGUCGAGCGGAUGAAGGGAGCUUGCUCCUGGAUUCAGUGGCGGACGGGUGAGUAAUUCCUAGGAAUCUGCCUGGUAGUGGGGGAUAACGUCCGGAAACGGGCGCUAAUACCGCAUACGUCCUGAGGUAGAAAGUGGGGGAUCUUCGGUGCUCGCGCUAUCUGAUUAGCCUAGGUCGGAUUAGCUAGUUGGUGGGGUAAAGGCCUACCAAGGCGACGAUCCGUAACUGGUCUGAGAGGAUGAUCAGUCACACUGGAACUGAGACACGGUCCAGACUCCUACGGGAGGCAGCAGUGGGGAAUAUUGGACAAUGGGCGAAAGCCUGAUCCAGCCAUGCCGCGUGUGUGAAGAAGGUCUUCGGAUUGUAAAGCACUUUAAGUUGGGAGGAAGGGCAGUAAGUUAAUACCUUGAUGUUUUGACGGUACCAACAGAAUAAGCACCGGCUAACUUCGUG